GCUCAAGUAGUUUAUUUAAAAUACUAAUAUGUGGAGUUAGUGAUACUUAUAGGUCGUGGGCA
This 62-nucleotide transfer RNA is filed under the name Scolytus seulensis. Its description in RNAcentral is "tRNA-His". Lineage: Eukaryota; Metazoa; Arthropoda; Insecta; Coleoptera; Curculionidae. The record is from RNAcentral.